UAGGGAAUAUUGGACAAUGGGGGCAACCCUGAUCCAGCCAUGCCGCGUGAGUGAAGAAGGCCCUCGGGUUGUAAAGCUCUUUUGUCCGGAAAGAAAAGCUUCGGGUUAAUACCCCGGGGUUCUGACGGUACCGGAAGAAUAAGCACCGGCUAACUUCGUGCCAGCAGCCGCGGUAAUACGGAGGAUCCUAGCGUUAUCCGGAUUUACUGGGUAUAAAGGGUGCGUAGGCGGGCGCUUAAGUCCGCGGUGAAGGUCUGCGGCUCAACCGUAGGAUUGACGUGGAUACUGGGGGUUUUGGAUUCGGUCGGGGCGGGCGGAAUGCGUGUGUAGCGGUGAAAUGCAGAGAUAUCACGCAGAACGCCGAUAGCGAAGGCAGCUCGCCGGGCCGACAUCGACGCUGAGGCACGAAAGCGUGGGGAUCAAACA
RNAcentral lists this ribosomal RNA (426 nucleotides) under uncultured bacterium. Its description in RNAcentral is "bacterial SSU rRNA". It matches the Rfam family "Bacterial small subunit ribosomal RNA", at positions 355 to 774 of the family's 1533-position model. The record is from RNAcentral.